This 515-nucleotide ribosomal RNA is filed under the name uncultured bacterium. RNAcentral's name for it is "partial 16S ribosomal RNA". It matches the Rfam family "Bacterial small subunit ribosomal RNA", at positions 28 to 523 of the family's 1533-position model. The record is from RNAcentral.
GAUGAACGCUGGCGGCGUGCCUAAUACAUGCAAGUCGAGCGAAUGGAUUAAGAGCUUGCUCUUAUGAAGUUAGCGGCGGACGGGUGAGUAACACGUGGGUAACCUGCCCAUAAGACUGGGAUAACUCCGGGAAAACGGGGCUAAUACCGGAUAACAUUUUGAACCGCAUGGUUCGAAAUUGAAAGGCGGCUUCGCCUGUCACUUAUGGAUGGACCCGCGUCGCAUUAGCUAGUUGGUGAGGUAACGGCUCACCAAGGCAACGAUGCGUAGCCGACCUGAGAGGGUGAUCGGCCACACUGGGACUGAGACACGGCGCAGACUCCUACGGGAGGCAGCAGUAGGGAAUCUUCCGCAAUGGACGAAAGUCUGACGGAGCAACGCCGCGUGAGUGAUGAAGGCUUUCGGGUCGUAAAACUCUGCUGUUAGUGAAGAACAAGUGCUAGUUGAAUAAGCUGGCACCUUGACGGUACCUAACCAGAAAGCCACGGCUAACUACGUGCCAGCCGCCGCAGUAA